RNAcentral lists this small RNA (133 nucleotides) under Citrobacter amalonaticus. RNAcentral describes it as "RtT sRNA". It matches the Rfam family "RtT RNA". Rfam says of the family: This family represents a bacterial cis-regulatory element known as RtT RNA. The exact function of RtT is unknown although it is thought that it may be involved in changing the cellular response in relation to amino acid starvation. Lineage: Bacteria; Pseudomonadati; Pseudomonadota; Gammaproteobacteria; Enterobacterales; Enterobacteriaceae. The record is from RNAcentral.
UUAUAUUCCUCAAUGGGGGGGAUGAGAAUCCCCGAUCAGGGGUCGACAACGAGCGCAGCCCGUUGGACGGAAUGGCCGCAGGCCAUGACGCCCGCAGGGCGAGCGAAGCGAGUCAAUCCCCCCCUCACCGCCA